GAUGAACGCUGGCGGCGUGCCUAAUACAUGCAAGUCGAGCGAACGGACGAGAAGCUUGCUUCUCUGAUGUUAGCAGCGGACGGGUGAGUAACACGUGGAUAACCUACCUAUAAGACUGGGAUAACUUCGGGAAACCGGAGCUAAUACCGGAUAAUAUUUUGAACCGCAUGGUUCAAAAGUGAAAGACGGUCUUGCUGUCACUUAUAGAUGGAUCCGCGCUGCAUUAGCUAGUUGGUAAGGUAACGGCUUACCAAGGCAACGAUGCAUAGCCGACCUGAGAGGGUGAUCAGCCACACUGGAACUGAGACACGGUCCAGACUCCUACGGGAGGCAGCAGUAGGGAAUCUUCCGCAAUGGGCGAAAGCCUGACGGAGCAACGCCGCGUGAGUGAUGAAGGUCUUCGGAUCGUAAAACUCUGUUAUUAGGGAAGAACAUAUGUGUAAGUAACUGUGCACAUCUUGACGGUACCUAAUCAGAAAGCCACGGCUAACUACGUG
RNAcentral lists this ribosomal RNA (497 nucleotides) under uncultured bacterium. RNAcentral's name for it is "partial 16S ribosomal RNA". It matches the Rfam family "Bacterial small subunit ribosomal RNA", at positions 28 to 507 of the family's 1533-position model. The record is from RNAcentral.